Non-coding RNA from Picea glauca (white spruce), 1292 nucleotides. The record is from Rfam. NCBI's taxonomy places the organism in Eukaryota, Viridiplantae, Streptophyta, Pinopsida, Pinales, Pinaceae.
GAACCCUAAUUUAUGACCAUGCUAUCACCUACAAAAUGGAACAAAUUGACUGAUUCAUUUUGGGAGAUAACAGUCGGGACCCUGCCUCACCACGAGGUGUUGUCGAUGAGUUAGGUUGUUUGGGAAUGCAUCCCUAAUCGGGUGGUAAAUUCCGUCCAAGGAUAAAUACGGGUGAGAUAACGAUAGAGAACAAUUACCGUGAGGGAAAGAUGAAAAGGACUUUGAAAAGAGAUUUAAAGAGUGCUUAAAAUUGUCGGGAGGGAUGUGGAUGGAGGCCAAUGAUGUGUCUCGGUCAGAUGUGGAAUGACUCAAGUGGGUCCACCACUCAACUCAAUGUGCGAACCAACACAUGUAUGUGCAUCAGACCAAGUGUGGGUGGAGUAUUUCUUGUUCAUUUUUUGUUGUGGCAGUCGAGGAAAGACGCGUGCACCCCUUGGGGUGGGCCACUAUGCACCUGCAUGCUCGUGGUGUUGGUUGGUGGGCUUUCCAUUUGAACCAUCUUGAAACAUGGAUGAAGGAUUCUAACAUGUGUGUGAGUCACUGGGUUUGUAAACCUACGAGUUGUAAGGAAGAUGACGGGAGAGAUCCACUCUCUAUGGGGUGCAUUGUCAACCGACUUUGAGCUUGUGUGAAAGGUUUGAGUGCGAGCACACCUGUUGGGACCCGAAAUAUUGUGAACUAUGCCCGAGCAGGGUGAAGCCACAUGAAACUUUGGUGGAGGACCGUAGGGAUACUAACGUGAAAAUCAUUCAUCUAACUUGGCUAUAGGGUUGAAAUACUAAUUGAACCAUCUAGUAGAUUGUUUCCUCCGAAGUUUCCCUCGGGACAAUUGGAGCUCACGUGCGAGUUUUAUCGGGUAAGGAAAAUUAUUAGAGGCAUUGGGGACAUAACACCCUCGACCUAUUCUCAAACUUUAAAUAGGUAAGAUGGUGCGUCUUCUCCAUUGAGUCGUGCCACAUAAUCAAGAGCUCCAAGUGGGCCAUUUUUGGUAAGAAGAACUAGCGAUGCAGGAUGAAUUGAAAUUUGAGUUACGGUGCCAAACUAUGUGCUAACCCAUAUCCCACAAAGGGUGUUGGUUGAUUAAGACAAUAGGACAGUGGUCAUGGAAGUCGAAAUCUUCUAAGGAGUGUAUAACAACUCACCUGUCGAAUCAACUAUCCCUGAAAAUGGAUAGCGCUAAAGCACACGACCUAUACUCGACUGUCGGAGCAAUUUCCAGGCUUCAAUGAGUAGGAGGAAGUGGGGGUCAUUGAGAAAUCUUGGGUGUGAGCCUGGGUGGACUGAUCCCUGGU